ACAAGAACUGUCAUUAAUAAAGAAAACUAAGGAGGAUCAAAAUAAAGAGGAAUGUACACUCGUGGAAUUAAAGGAAGUAAAAGAAGCAACCAAUGAUUUGGAAGAGAAACUACAAAGUAAUUA
Long non-coding RNA from Amphimedon queenslandica, 123 nucleotides. RefSeq lists it as uncharacterized. The transcript has 2 exons. NCBI's taxonomy places the organism in Eukaryota, Metazoa, Porifera, Demospongiae, Haplosclerida, Niphatidae. The record is from RefSeq and is a predicted model, not a curated record.